AUUGAACGCUGGCGGCAGGCCUAACACAUGCAAGUCGAGCGGAUGAAGGGAGCUUGCUCCUGGAUUCAGCGGCGGACGGGUGAGUAAUGCCUAGGAAUCUGCCUGGUAGUGGGGGAUAACGUCCGGAAACGGGCGCUAAUACCGCAUACGUCCUGAGGGAGAAAGUGGGGGAUCUUCGGACCUCACGCUAUCAGAUGAGCCUAGGUCGGAUUAGCUAGUUGGUGGGGUAGAGGCCUACCAAGGCGACGAUCCGUAACUGGUCUGAGAGGAUGAUCAGUCACACUGGAACUGAGACACGGUCCAGACUCCUACGGGAGGCAGCAGUGGGGAAUAUUGGACAAUGGGCGAAAGCCUGAUCCAGCCAUGCCGCGUGUGUGAAGAAGGUCUUCGGACUGUAAAGCACUUUAAGUUGGGAGGAAGGGCAGUAAGUUAAUACCUUGCUGUUUUGACGUUACCAACAGAAUAAGCACCGGCUAACUUCGUG
This 484-nucleotide ribosomal RNA is filed under the name uncultured bacterium. RNAcentral's name for it is "partial 16S ribosomal RNA". It matches the Rfam family "Bacterial small subunit ribosomal RNA", at positions 30 to 507 of the family's 1533-position model. The record is from RNAcentral.